GUGCCAGCCGCCGCGGUAAUACGUAAGGUUCAAGUGUUAUCCGGAAUUAUUGGGCGUAAAGCGUUCGUAGGUGGAUUUGUAAGUUAAAUUUGAAAUGUCCAGGCUUAACUUGGAAUUUGGAUUUAAUACUGUAAAUCUAGAGUAUAGUUGGGGUAAGUGGAACUCUCGGUGUAGCAGUGAAAUGCGUUGAUAUCGAGAGGAACACCAAUGGCGAAGGCAGCUUACUAGGCUAUUACUGACGCUCAGGAAC
RNAcentral lists this ribosomal RNA (250 nucleotides) under uncultured bacterium. RNAcentral describes it as "partial 16S ribosomal RNA". It matches the Rfam family "Bacterial small subunit ribosomal RNA", at positions 505 to 754 of the family's 1533-position model. The record is from RNAcentral.